Molecule: ribosomal RNA, 253 nt
Filed under: uncultured bacterium
Lineage: Bacteria
Description: partial 16S ribosomal RNA
Rfam family: Bacterial small subunit ribosomal RNA
Source: RNAcentral
GACGAGGGGUCCUAGCGUUGUUCGGAAUCACUGGGCGUAAAGCGUAUGUAGGCGGCUUAACAAGUCAGAUGUGAAAUCCUGUGGCUUAACCACAGAACUGCAUUUGAAACUGUCGAGCUUGAAUAUGGGAGAGGAUGGCGGAAUUCUUGGUGUAGUGGUGAAAUACGUAGAUAUCAAGAGGAAGACCGGUGGCGAAGGCGGCCAUCUGGCCCAAUAUUGGCGCUGAGAUACGAAAGCAUGGGGAGCAAACAGG